UUGAACGCUGGCGGCAGGCCUAACACAUGCAAGUCGAACGGUAACAGGAAGCAGCUUGCUGCUUUGCUGACGAGUGGCGGACGGGUGAGUAAUGUUUGGGAAACUGCCUGAUGGAGGGGGAUAACUACUGGAAACGGUAGCUAAUACCGCAUAACGUCGCAAGACCAAAGAGGGGGACCUUCGGGCCUCUUGCCAUCGGAUGUGCCCAGAUGGGAUUAGCUAGUAGGUGGGGUAACGGCUCACCUAGGCGACGAUCCCUAGCUGGUCUGAGAGGAUGACCAGCCACACUGGAACUGAGACACGGUCCAGACUCCUACGGGAGGCAGCAGUGGGGAAUAUUGCACAAUGGGCGCAAGCCUGAUGCAGCCAUGCCGCGUGUAUGAAGAAGGCCUUCGGGUUGUAAAGUACUUUCAGCGGGGAGGAAUGGAGUAAAGUUAAUACCUUUGCUCAUUGACGUUACCCGCAGAAGAAGCACCGGCUAACUCCGUG
This 489-nucleotide ribosomal RNA is filed under the name uncultured bacterium. Its description in RNAcentral is "partial 16S ribosomal RNA". It matches the Rfam family "Bacterial small subunit ribosomal RNA", at positions 30 to 507 of the family's 1533-position model. The record is from RNAcentral.